This 207-nucleotide long non-coding RNA is filed under the name Fukomys damarensis (Damara mole-rat). RNAcentral's name for it is "lncRNA (ENSFDAG00000032696.1)". Lineage: Eukaryota; Metazoa; Chordata; Mammalia; Rodentia; Bathyergidae. The record is from RNAcentral.
AUGACUUAUGUGUUCUGUGCAAGUCGGUUGCCUGCCUCUCUGGACGAUACCUUGAACCACAAAUGGCUGUGUGAAUUCUGCCAGGAUCACGACAGUGCUGGACACCCUUGUGGCUGGGGAGAGACCACUUGGGUAAGAGGCAGUGCUUUUCCUCACUUGGGUAUUCAACUAAAGGCAAUCACAGUAUUGUUGACAUUUAUAAAUUAA